RNAcentral lists this ribosomal RNA (1012 nucleotides) under uncultured bacterium. RNAcentral describes it as "bacterial SSU rRNA". It matches the Rfam family "Bacterial small subunit ribosomal RNA", at positions 356 to 1376 of the family's 1533-position model. The record is from RNAcentral.
GGGGAAUAUUGCACAAUGGGCGCAAGCCUGAUGCAGCGACGCCGCGUGCGGGAUGACGGCCUUCGGGUUGUAAACCGCUUUUGAUCGGGAGCAAGCCUUCGGGUGAGUGUACCUUUCGAAUAAGCACCGGCUAACUACGUGCCAGCAGCCGCGGUAAUACGUAGGGUGCAAGCGUUAUCCGGAAUUAUUGGGCGUAAAGGGCUCGUAGGCGGUUCGUCGCGUCCGGUGUGAAAGUCCAUCGCUUAACGGUGGAUCUGCGCCGGGUACGGGCGGGCUGGAGUGCGGUAGGGGAGACUGGAAUUCCCGGUGUAACGGUGGAAUGUGUAGAUAUCGGGAAGAACACCAAUGGCGAAGGCAGGUCUCUGGGCCGUUACUGACGCUGAGGAGCGAAAGCGUGGGGAGCGAACAGGAUUAGAUACCCUGGUAGUCCACGCCGUAAACGGUGGAUGCUGGAUGUGGGGCCCGUUCCACGGGUUCCGUGUCGGAGCUAACGCGUUAAGCAUCCCGCCUGGGGAGUACGGCCGCAAGGCUAAAACUCAAAGAAAUUGACGGGGGCCCGCACAAGCGGCGGAGCAUGCGGAUUAAUUCGAUGCAACGCGAAGAACCUUACCUGGGCUUGACAUGUUCCCGACAGCCGUAGAGAUAUGGCCUCCCUUCGGGGCGGGUUCACAGGUGGUGCAUGGUCGUCGUCAGCUCGUGUCGUGAGAUGUUGGGUUAAGUCCCGCAACGAGCGCAACCCUCGCCCUGUGUUGCCAGCACGUCAUGGUGGGAACUCACGGGGGACCGCCGGGGUCAACUCGGAGGAAGGUGGGGAUGACGUCAGAUCAUCAUGCCCCUUACGUCCAGGGCUUCACGCAUGCUACAAUGGCCGGUACAACGGGAUGCGACACGGCGACGUGGAGCGGAUCCCUGAAAACCGGUCUCAGUUCGGAUUGGAGUCUGCAACCCGACUCCAUGAAGGCGGAGUCGCUAGUAAUCGCGGAUCAGCAACGCCGCGGUGAAUGCGUUCCCG